GUAGGUGAACCUGCGGAAGGAUCAUUAUCACGUAUCCACGUAUAAACCAAUUCGUGAACUGUUUUACCCCACCUCUGGGCUAUGGCCGCUGUCAUUUGGACACAUGAGUUCAUUGUAUGAUUAUGGACUCGUCCUUGGCAACUAAGGCUGUUUCUUCAGAGCGUAUUAAUCAUACUUUAACUAUUAACCACUUGAACACUAUGAAAAUUUAUCUUUGUUUGAACUGAUUUGUUUCUUACUCAGUGUGUGUGUAAUAGCAUCACACCGAGAAGAAAUCGAUUUACGAAACAAAAAAGAACAACUCUUAGCAACGGAUAUCUUGGUUCUC
This 328-nucleotide unclassified non-coding RNA is filed under the name rhizosphere metagenome. RNAcentral describes it as "partial ribosomal RNA internal transcribed spacer region". The record is from RNAcentral.